CGCGCCCUACGGGACGCAGCAGUGGGGAAUAUUGGGCAAUGGACGCAAGUCUGACCCAGCAACGCCUCGUGAAGGAAGAAGGCUUUCGGGGUGUAAACUUCUUUUAAGGGGGAAGAGCAGAAGACGGUACCCCUUGAAUAAGCCACGGCUAACUACGUGCCAGCAGCCGCGGUAAUACGUAGGUGGCAAGCGUUGUCCGGAUUUACUGGGUGUAAAGGGCGUGCAGCCGGAGAGACAAGUCAGAUGUGAAAUCCACGGGC
RNAcentral lists this ribosomal RNA (260 nucleotides) under uncultured bacterium. Its description in RNAcentral is "partial 16S ribosomal RNA". It matches the Rfam family "Bacterial small subunit ribosomal RNA", at positions 333 to 608 of the family's 1533-position model. The record is from RNAcentral.